CGCUAUUUUCUUUUAUUUUUCCAGGACUAGCAAAUUCCAAGUUCAAUUGCAAUUGAGUUAAAGUCAUUCCAUUUGGUUUUUGUAAUGGGACUUUCCUAUACCUAGCAUCAUUAACCAACUGGUUGUACAUGGACCAAGGUUUAAAAACCGGCGGUUAACCGGCGGCCGGCUGACCGGUAAAAUACUACUAACCGGUGACCGGUUAGUUGGGACGGGUAAAUGGGUUGAUGGGUCGGGUCUAACCCGUACCCGACCCGGUCACCCGCCCCGUUUUAAAAAAAGGUCAUUAAUUAAAUGUUUAUUUUAAAGGCUUUAUUUAAUAAAGCCCAUUACGUUUCAUUUAAUAAAGCCUCAUUUGAAGGCUUUAUUUUAAUAAGUUUAAAUCUUAUAAGUCUCUCCUUAUAAGUCUUUGAAACCCUAGCCGUUUUAUAAGUCCUCUCCACUUUCUUUUCUUUUUCAGUUCUUCUCCUCCACAUUUCCUCCAUAUUUUUUUGACUCUCCACCAUUAGAAUUUUUUUCCUUCUUCUCCUUCACAUUUCUUUGAUUCUCCACCAUCAGAAUUUUUUCUUCUUCUUUUCCUCCACAUUUGUUUGACAUUUUCUUCACUUUCUACGAUCUGAAAUAUUAUCCUACUCCAUCGAUCAUUACUUAUUUGCAUUAUUAUUUUGAAUGACUAUUUUGAAUUACUAUAUUGUUUAUGAUAUUUUUAUUUAUAUAAACAAGGAUAUAAACAUGGAUAUAAACAUGGAAUAGAUAUAUAAGUGUAUAACAUAAUUUCUGUUUUUUAAAAAAAAAUUACGAAAAUACCCCUACCGGUUAACCACGUUAACCGGUAAGCCAGAACCGGUUACCGGUUAACCGGUUUUUAAACCUUGACAUGGACUGCCCUUCUUCUACCACAAGUAUCAAAUUUGAUUUCGAAUAGGUAUAGGGAGUAGAAGAUGUCACUGCUAAAUCACUCAAAAAAUUUACAGGAGAUUUCGGGACGAGGAUAGAUUGUGUUUGAUCAAGCACAUCCUUAUCAAAUUGGGCUAGAAGAUCAAAACUGGGGGGACAUAUAUGCUUGUCGGCAGGAGGUUGUACAACGUCUACAUGAUCAUUAAUGAUCAUAGGAUGUGAGGACGAAACACAUUCACUAAUUGACUUAAUGGUUUCCUUAAUAUGGGCAUUUCCAGAGCUCAAAGUUUAGAGAUUUGCUGACUUAUCCAUUCCUUGAGGAGGGGGAUUAGCAUAUGCUGUGGGAAAUUCGUCAGAUUCGAUAUCUAGAUUUCGGCAGGGUUCUACAAGCAUGUAUUCAUACAACUCCAAACCUUGAAGAAUAACUGGAUUUUCUAUUGUCGUGCAAUGUUCAUGGACAGAUGACUUCUCCUGACAGGCUAACUUCUCCUUCAUCUCAAUGCAAUUAAAUAAUUCAUUCAUGGGAUUAUCCGGUUCUGAAUCAAAUGUAGGCGUAGGUGACGGCGUACACAGAUCAACAACUGUUGGGACGUCCAACUGUAGGUCUAAAUUUCUCCCGUCAAUCGGUAUAGUGGUUUUGUUAAUAGCGCAUCAUUUUUGGCCUUCUAACAAAAAGAUAAUUUAGAGUUUUUGAUUUACCAUAUCAUAAAACUAUUUCUACGUACUUCACUAACCUGGGGAAGAUGGUUUUCGAAGAGCCUUAUCCUCUCCGCACUGAUUCUCUCAAAAAGGAAUUAUCAGAAUUUACAAUUUCAGGAACGAAAAAAUAAUUGAUUGAACUCAUACCUUUCUUAAUAUUGAUUGUUGCUUCCUAAUUCUUGUACAAUGAAUAAAUUCCAUG
RNAcentral lists this long non-coding RNA (1798 nucleotides) under Zostera marina. RNAcentral describes it as "long non-coding RNA (ZMAR_LNC000697)". Lineage: Eukaryota; Viridiplantae; Streptophyta; Magnoliopsida; Alismatales; Zosteraceae. The record is from RNAcentral.